This 433-nucleotide ribosomal RNA is filed under the name uncultured bacterium. Its description in RNAcentral is "partial 16S ribosomal RNA". It matches the Rfam family "Bacterial small subunit ribosomal RNA", at positions 29 to 507 of the family's 1533-position model. The record is from RNAcentral.
AACGAACGCUGGCGGCAUGCCUAACACAUGCAAGUCGAACGAGACCUUCGGGUCUAGUGGCGCACGGGUGCGUAACGCGUGGGAACCUGCCCUUAGGUUCGGAAUAACUCCCCGAAAGGGGUGCUAAUACCGGAUAAUGUCUUCGGACCAAAGAUUUAUCGCCUUUGGAUGGGCCCGCGUUGGAUUAGCUAGUUGGUAGGGUAAAAGCCUACCAAGGCGACGAUCCAUAGCUGGUCUGAGAGGAUGAUCAGCCACACUGGGACUGAGACACGGCUCAGACUCCUACGGGAGGCAGCAGUGGGGAAUAUUGGACAAUGGGCGAAAGCCUGAUCCAGCAAUGCCGCGUGAGUGAUGAAGGCCUUAGGGUUGUAAAGCUCUUUUACCCGGGAUGAUAAUGACAGUACCGGGAGAAUAAGCGCCGGCUAACUCCGUG